UUCACAACCAGGAACAACUGGCCUCAAAAUAAACUGCAACUUAACACUCAGCAAGUUGUUGCCAUAGCUGGAAUAUGUUCAUUCAGUCUCGACUUCCCUAUGCUGUGCCUUCCGUGUUGGAACAUACUGAUUCAUAGAUCACCGAGUCCUUCACCUGGUAUUAUAAACCAAGAACUGAAAGGACUAACCACAGGACUGGAAAGAAGGCAUUGAGAUUUGGAGACUGUGUCAAAGCAGGGAGAGUCCAACACGUACACAAAGCAAAGCUGAAAGCGCAUGCUGGGAAGAUGACUAAAGAAACAGAAUGGAAAGAGUCCCUCUUCUAUUACUACUGCAUCAAAUUUGCUCUCUCUGCCUAUGCCACCCUGUUCUCGAUCAUAGGUCUGGUGAUUCUGUGCAUUGGCAUAUAUGCAGAAGUGGAGCGGCAGAAGCACAAAACCUUGGAAGGGAUCUUCCUGGCUCCAGCUGUGAUCCUGCUUCUCCUGGGCAUCACUAUGUUUGUCGUUUCCUUCAUCGGAACAGUUGGAUCCCUCAGAGACAACCGGACACUGCUGAA
Molecule: long non-coding RNA, 556 nt
Organism: Alligator sinensis (Chinese alligator)
Lineage: Eukaryota; Metazoa; Chordata; Crocodylia; Alligatoridae
Exons: 3
Source: RefSeq, a predicted model, not a curated record